Molecule: ribosomal RNA, 503 nt
Filed under: uncultured Glomus
Lineage: Eukaryota; Fungi; Glomeromycota; Glomeromycetes; Glomerales; Glomeraceae
Description: SSU rRNA
Rfam family: Eukaryotic small subunit ribosomal RNA
Source: RNAcentral
AGCAGCCGCGGUAAUUCCAGCUCCAAUAGCGUAUAUUAAAGUUGUUGCAGUUAAAAAGCUCGUAGUUGAAUUUCGGGGUUAGCAGGUCGGUCGUGCCAUCGGUAUGAACUGGUCUCGCUGAUCCCUCCCUCUUGACGAACUGUGAUGCCAUUAAUUUGGUGUCGCAGGGAAUCAGGACUGUUACUUUGAAAAAGUUAGAGUGUUUAAAGCAGGCUCACGCUUGAAUACAUUAGCAUGGAAUAAUGAAAUAGGACGUUUGAUCCUAUUUUGUUGGCUUCUAGGAUUGACGUAAUGAUUAAUAGGGAUAGUUGGGGGCAUUAGUAUUCAAUUGUCAGAGGUGAAAUUCUUGGAUUUAUUGAAGACUAACUACUGCGAAAGCAUUUGCCAAGGAUGUUUUCAUUAAUCAAGAACGAAAGUUAGGGGAUCGAAGACGAUCAGAUACCGUCGUAGUCUUAACCAUAAACUAUGCCGACUAGGGAUCGGAUGAUGUUAAUUUUUAAUGA